CAAAUUUAAUAGUAAUCAAGAACUCGAUUCCAGGAAUAUCUCCCAAUUAACAAGGUAAGCCCCAGCCUAAGCAGAAAGAAGAAGAAAAUACAUAGCAUGCCUCUCUCCUCUUACUAUACUUAUUUAUACACAUCCUCACUAGCUGUCCUGUUCUUGUAUUCGAGAUUCCUGGGAACUAAUUUCUACUAUUUUGCCAAGUGUCCUUCUUUGUCCAAUUCCCCAGCCCUUGCUUUGUUAUUUCUGAAUCGUUUCCUGUAAUAGACCCUCAGCAGAAUGGCCUUUGGGCUUGGGUUCAUAAUCUGAUGAGGAACGGCCUUGUCCUCAAGGUUGAAAUUAGAAAAUUGAACAUAAUCGAAAUAGUUCAUCCAAGAAGCAUCCUCAGAAGUUCUGUUCUUCCAUUUAACUAAGAGUUGUUGUAUGGCUUGGCCUUGACCAGAUUGAAUGCGACUAUCAAGGAUAGCUUCAGGUUCACAAUUGUCUUCCAUUAUUUCCAAUCCCUUCGGAAUCUCAGUUAAAACCGGGUGUUGGCCAUUUUUUUUUUCAGCCGAGAAACAUGAAAAACUGGGUGUAUUUUAGAUUCUAGUGGCAAUUGCAAACGAUAUGCGACAGGUUCUACUGCGAAAAUAAUACAUAAUACGGAAGGGAUCAAAAUACCUAGCAGCUAAUUUUUUAUUGAUAGGGCCAUUCAAAGAGCUUUGUCUGUGUGGUCUCAGUUUGAAAAAAAACAGAGUCCCCGACAUUGUAGUGAACUUCCCUUUGAUGUUGGUUGGAUGCCCUGAUCAUUCUUUGUUGUGCCCAGCUGAGAUUGUAAGCAAGCUGCUUUAAUAACUCAUCUCUGGUUUGUAGUUCUUGGGCCAAUUCUUCCGAAGUAAGGCAGCGGAAAUAUGUUUCUAAUCCCCUAUUUAACACUUCAAUCUGGCCAUCAGAUUUUGGAUGAUAGGCUGUGCUCAUAUCCAACUGGGUGCCUUGAAGUCUAAACAAUUUUGUCCAGAAAUUAUUGAGGAAUAUAGGGUCUCGGUCGUUGAAUAUGGACUUGGGAAUUCCAUGAAGUCGGACCACUUCUUUUACAAACACAAUUGCCACCAUUUUUGCUAAGUAGGGAUGACUAGGAGGAAAAAAGUGUCCAUAUUUGAUAAAACGAUCAACCACAACCAAAAUGGUAUCAGGACCUUGGGAUUUUGGAUGAAAUCCAUAGAAAUAUCCUUCCAUACACUAUUCGGGAUAGGAAGCGGCUGAAGCAAUCCCGCCGAUGAACUGGUCUCAUACUUGUGUUUUUGACAAACCAAAUAUUCAGCCACGUACUUCUAAACAGUUAUCAUCAUUCCAGGCCAAUAUAAAUUUGCUACAUUUCUUUGAUAUGUUCUAAAUGCAUUGGAGUGUCCUUCCGAGGGAGAGUUAUGGAAUUUAUGCAACAGACAUGGAAUACAAAAAGAGGAUGAAGGGAUAACAAGUUGGCCCUUAUAGAAUAACCGAUCUUGCACCAAGGAAUAUGGAGUAUAUCUUGAGGUUUGACUUUUAAGCCUUUGAAUGAUUGUCAACAGUGAGUAUCCUGCUCAAUUUCCUUAACAACAACAGCCCAAGCAAUCCAUUGAGGUGAAGAUAGUAAAUUUAAUUCUAUGUCUUUCAUGUUUCCGAGAUAAAGCGUCUGCUGCAGAAUUGGAAGAGAGCCAGGUUUGUAUACUAUGGAAAAAUCAUACCCCAACAACUUGAUUGCCCAUUUCCUUUGUGCUAGAAUAGUAAUAUGUUGAUGCAAGAGGUACUUCAAACUGCUUUGAUCAGUGAAAACUAGAAACUUUCGGCCUAAUAAAUAAGGUCUCCAAUGGUGUACAGCUAAGACUAGGGCCAUCGAUCUCUUUCAUACGUGGAUUGAACUUGGAAAUGAGAUGAAAGAGCUUUGCUGAAAUAUGCAAUUGGUCGAUGCUCUUGCAUCAAAACAACACCAAUUCUUGAUCCAGAAGCAUCGCAUUCCAACAUAAAUUGUUUGGAAAAAUCUGGAAUUGCGAGAACAAGAGAAGUAGUCAAGGCUUGCUUAAGUGUUUCAAAUGCGGUUUGAGUUUCGGCUGUCCACUGCAAUCUUCCUUGGCCUUCUUUCUUGAGCAGUUGAGUCAGUGGUUUGGCAAGCACCCUAUAAUUUCUAAUAAACCGUCGGUAAUAGCCGGUUAAUCCAAAAACCAUUUGACUGCUAUUAAUGACUUCACCGUAGGCUAAUUUAGAACCUCAUAAACCUUUAAAGGAUCCAUAGCCACCCCUAUGGAUGAAACAACAUGCCCUAAAUAUUUAAUCAUAGUACUUCCAAAUGAGCUUUUCUUCCUGUUGAUGAAGAAUUGGUUGUUCAAUACAAGCUGUAGGAUGGUCUUUAAAUGGACUAAAUGACCAUGUUUUACCGUAUAUAAAAAUGUCGUCGAAGAACACAAAAACAAACCGUCGAAGGUAAGGGCGAAACAGAUAAUUUAUUGUGGCCUGAAAUGUUGCUGGAGCAUUGGUUAAGCCGAAAGGAAUUACCACAAACUCAAACUCAUAGUGUCCUAAAUGAGUGCGAAAGGCUGUCCUGAAACCUUGAUUUGAUGAUAGCCGGAUUUGAGAUCUAGCUUUGAAAAAUAAUGUGCUCCAAUCAGUUCAUCUAAAAGCGUAUGGGGAUCGAUCAAAUGUUUAAGAUGUGAUAAUCUACAUAAAAACGCCAACUCUUAUCUUUCUUUCGUACCAGUAGGACUACGCUGGAGAAUGGACGGGAAUUUGGGCGAAUAAUUCCUUCAAUCAACAUCUCAGUAACCAUCCUUUCUAUUUCAUCUUUUUGAAAAUGCCCAUAUUGAUAAGCCUUGACAUUAACAGCAGUGGUACCCACAGAUAAAGGAAUGAUGUGAUCAGUAGGCCUUGCUGGUGGAAGAGACAAGGAUUUGCAGAAAAGUGGAUUAAAGUUGACCAAGAGCGAGUCAAUCUCUGUCUGUUGGAACUCAAUGAUCUCAGUGUUGAACAAGCAAAAUUUCUCCAUAUUUGUCCUUUGCCACAAAAAAACUGAAUAUUCGAUAUCUGCCAGUUUAUGUAAUAUGCAGAUAUGCUUGCCUUUGUUUGAGAACCCUUGCCACUGAGAGUAAUAGAUUUGUGCUGGUAAUUUAACGUCAUCUCCAUGAUAAGCCAAUUAACUUUGACUUCCCCCAAGGUUUGUAGCCAUGCAAUCCCAAGAACUAGAUCAACCCCUCCUAAAGGAAAAAUGAAACAAUCAGCCAAAAUCUGCAUGUUUGCCAAGUUCACAGAAAUUGCUCGACAUACUCUUGAGGAUUCUACUCUGGGUCCAUCUCCUAAUCGAACCCAAAAAAGAGGAGUCGCUUCAAUAGGUAGAUUCAAUUUUUUAGCCAAGGUGCUCGAGAUAAAAUUAUAACUUGCCCUGCUGUCAAUCAUAAUCGAGAUCGGAUGACCGGAUAUUUGCCCAUGUAAUUUCAUAGAGUUGGGAGAAGAAAUACCUCCCACCGAAAAGAAAGAAAGUUCCAUGGCAAAGAAACUAGCUUCAUCGAUAAUAUGGACCACGGGAGAAACACUAGAAGGAGGAGAAUCAGAAUCUAAAUCUGGUGGGGUGGGUUCAUCAUCACUAACAAUCAAGGCUCGCAAGGUUUUGUUGGGCACUUAUGCAUGGGGUGGAAAGGUUGUUUACAUUUGUAAAUAGAGGCCUUUGGCUCUUAAAUCAAGGAACUCUUAGUGAGAAUAGUGCCUUGUACCCCUGAAACGAGGAGAAGGUCGAGAAGAAUGAGGUGAGGAAGGCGGUUGUGAGGAAGGCAGUGGUAGGGAUUUUGGUAGAGGGGGUGACAGAAUGUGGGGAAGGUAGGGACUGGGUUGGUGAAAUAUAGGUGAUUGGGUUGGGCUUAUAAACUGAGUUAUUGACCUAUGUCUUCACUCAAUGGUAAAAGGAGAAGCCCACCAAUGGACACCAUCUCCUGUUGGCUUGCCGUGGAUAGGAGAAGGCUGGAAAAAUUGCAGUUCUGUCUCGAUAUCUUGAGCAAGAGUCAUCGUUCUGGAAAUAUUGAGUGUUUCAUGAGAACAGAUUCUAACUCGAAUUUCAUCCUUGAGUCCGCUUAAGAAAAAUUUCAUAUAUUGUUGAUCAGUCAAACAACUAAAUUCAUUGAUAUAGUCAUCGAUGGAGGUAUGCUGCAGGACGGUCGCCAAUCAUUCAUAUGGAUUGAUACGGCGAUCUCCGCCAUAGCAAAGUAGGAGUUCUUGAAUAAAUUAAUUCCAUGAAAAAGUGGCAUGAUAUUAGCGUAACCAAUGCAUCCAAUGUAAUGCAGCCUCUUCCAUACAAACAAAAAUGAGUUGGACUUUCAAAUUUUCAGAAGUUUGAUGAAGAGUGAAAUAUUGUUCAGUCCAAGCAAUACAUCCCACGGGGUCAUUGCCAUCAAAAUUUGGGGGUUCAAUCUGCUAUCGAGGAAUAGAGGUGUUGCCGGAGGUCGGGGAAGGGUGAGAAGUAGUAGCAUCCUCUGUUAUAGCUUUCCCACGAGACAUGGAAAUGAUGAGUGAUUUCAGCCUAUCAAAUCUUUUCUCUUGUUCUGCUUUAAAAGUGGAAAAACGUUGAUCUUGAUUGAUCUUGAGGGUGGCAAACAGGGCUUCCAUAUCAUGUAAGCUCCUCUCCAUUUGAUCUACUCGUCCCUCCAUUCUGGUUUUGGUUUUGGGCAUGGGGGAAGAGCUCCGGUAGGUCAGACCAAUUGAUAGGGUUAGGAACUUAAUCAAGAGUUGCAAGAGACAAAAAUGGAAAAAUAUUUGUAUUGAGCUUAGAAUUCGAUUCCAGGAGUAUCUCCCGACUAACAAGGUUAGCCCCAGCCUAAGCAAAAAGAAGAAGAAAAUACAUAGCAUGCCUCUCUCCUCUCACUAUACUUAUUUAUACACACCCUCACCAGCUAUCCUGUUCUUGUAUCCGAGAUUCCCGGUAACUGAUUUCUACUAUUCUGCCAAGUGUUCUUCAUCUAAUUCCCCAGCUUCCAGCCCUUGCUUUGUUAUUUCUGAAUCAUUUCCUGUAAUAGACCCUCAGCGGAAUGACCUUUGGGCUUGGGUUCAUAAUCUGAUCUCUAACAGCUUCUAUGCAUGACAUUACAGUUUUGUCUUCUGUUAUCUUUCAUGGUUUACUUUUUCUUCCCCAUAUUCAUGCAAACUGUUGCAUUAUAAAUUUAGUUCCUAACUGGAACAUGGAGAUUUUUGCUAUUGGGUCUUAUGCGAUAGUAUGAUCAACUAAUUCAAAAUUCCUUCUUUUUUCUUUUUUUUUUUCCUUUUUUCCCCCAAACAUUCAUAUUUGUCCAAAGACAGGUAAAACCUUUCCAUUGAACUUUCCCGUCUCACCUCUGAUUCAUUUUAGUAAAUUUGAUCCUUCGACAUUAGUUGAUCUCUGCUAUGGAAUGUCAGCUGUGCAUAUUUGUAAAUUGUUUACUCCUCUGUAGUUUAGAUUCUAGGGCAUAUAAAUUCCUAAAUAUGACACGACUAUAGUAUCUAUUUAUAUCAAGAUCGUUGUAAUAGUAUAAUAUACAGAAAUUUAUCCAUUGCAAUCCCUAUAGUGUGGCUACACGUAGUUACAUGUAGCUGGGCAGUUCUGCACAUUAGAAUAAUGGAGUUUCAUGACUACUACUAGAUAGUAGAUAUGACAAAGAAUGUUUGAAAACCACAAUAUAGUCUAAUAUGAUAACCAGUGAAUUGUGCUGGUCCUAUUACUUGCUUGGUGGUAAGCAAAAUUAAUUGUGAAUUCUUGCACUUGAGUCAAUAUUGUGAUGUUUUCAUGAAAAUAUAUUUUGUUUACUUCUGGUAUUGGGAAAGGCAAUGUUGAGGGAUACAUUUUCGAAGAAACUGGAUUGCAGCUGAUGAAAAUUUGGGCGACUGUUAAGUCAGAAGGAUAGUAGGUGAAGAAUUUUGGGGGGAAUUUUUUAUUCUAUUCUAAUUGAAUUGAUCUUUACAAGGUUUGAGUAUUUAUAAACAAAGAAUCAAUCUAAAUUAGGAAUAUUUACAAUAAGAAUAAAAUCCCUUAAAUCAAGUCUAAUUCCCAAUUUGAAUCCUCCUAAUUAGUAACAUUCUAUGUUGGUCAACGGUAGGUAUCCUUGUUAGAAUCUAGAAUACAAAGGUCAAUGCACAAUAUGAAUCAAUUUCAAGCCCUUUACCAUAUUCAUGUGGGAUUUCACAACUACCCUUCUGAUGUUGGCUCAACAAGAAUGGAUGGGCUGUAAGCCUGUAACCCAGCACGUAAACAUAUCUUUGGAGUUCUGGCAAACCAAUUCAGCUGUGGUACUAUGAUAGAGAAUUCAACCAGAGGUUUAACUUUUGGGUGGAGAAUCUGGAGAUGUUGAUGUGAGAGUGAGACUACCAACUUGGUCAUUCUCUGAAUUUUUGUUUUAACCACAUGAUAGAUAACCACAAGCUGUCUGUAUCUCAAAAUGGCCAACUACGCUGGGGGCACCCAUUUGAUGUUAUUUUUAACUCAUGGAAACUUCACACUCACGAUUGUGAUGCUGGGGGUUGAUUGUAUUUAGUGUCAAUAGGAUAGGUUAAGAUAGUUAAGUUGCGCAAUUUUUCUGCUAAUAAUGCUGCAUAAUUUCUGGGUUGGCCUUUCUGCCAGUUGCGCAUAAUAUAUUAUUAAGUCGUAGUCUGUCAAUUCUCUUUUCCUUUAAUGUAAUUGAAAUGUUAUUUCUUGCAUUGCACACACUUUUCAGGUUAUUCCUUGGCAUUG
Molecule: long non-coding RNA, 6688 nt
Filed under: Manihot esculenta (cassava)
Lineage: Eukaryota; Viridiplantae; Streptophyta; Magnoliopsida; Malpighiales; Euphorbiaceae
Description: long non-coding RNA (MESC_LNC005614)
Source: RNAcentral